Cebus imitator (Panamanian white-faced capuchin) is the source of this 107-nucleotide small nuclear RNA. The record is from Ensembl. Lineage: Eukaryota; Metazoa; Chordata; Mammalia; Primates; Cebidae.
GUGCUCGCUUUGGCAGCACAUAUACUAAAAUUGAAACGAUACAGAGAAGAUUAGCAUGGCCCCUGCACAAGGAUGAAGUGCAAAUCUGUGAAGCAUUCCAUAUUUUC